UGCGCCCCUGUUUUGCCCCAACCUCACACGCAGGUUGUACUGCUGUAGAGGGGUUUGGAGCGCUGGAGCGCCACCUCGUCACGGGGUCCGGCUGCCAUCCGCGAUGCGAGCACCAAACGCAGAGGAGAGCGCGUUUGAUGCAAAAUCAGCAUCGUUUUUGGAAUUGUUUGUGUCAGGUCGCUCUGCGUAGUCCAGGUAUUAUCGAGCGAACCAUCUUCUUACGUAGCGUGCUUUGAUGAUCCGGGCAUGCCGGCACCCCCGUUAUAUAUCUCCAAAACCUCGUAUGAUAAAUCAACGCUAGAAUAUAAAACGGAGCACGAAAACACAUGGAAAGAUGCGGCAGGCACCAAGUUGGCAUGGCCAUCUGAAGAUAAUCACCAACGCUUAAGUGCGAAAUCAAAGAUGUAAGAUGUGAAAAAUGAACGGUUAACCGCAGAACGGAGAUGCUAAGGAACGGGCGGACGAGGUGAAGGAUGACGAGGAAAGCCUCUUAAAAAGAGAGGGGCGUUUCGGUCAUUCCACCAUAAUACUGACGAAACAAUGUAUACAUUAUAUUUUAAAGCGGACGAAACAAUAUAUACAUACACACUAAACAAAGGAAACCGGCCUACCGCGCCUACGUCUAAUUUUCAAAUCGGUAACUUUAAUCCCACCUCCCCGUCUAUUUAAAACUAUUCCGAUCGCCGGUCGCCUGUCUCCCUAC
RNAcentral lists this long non-coding RNA (703 nucleotides) under Oryza brachyantha (malo sina). Its description in RNAcentral is "long non-coding RNA (OBRA_LNC001783)". The record is from RNAcentral. Lineage: Eukaryota; Viridiplantae; Streptophyta; Magnoliopsida; Poales; Poaceae.